Molecule: ribosomal RNA, 1465 nt
Filed under: Cedecea neteri
Lineage: Bacteria; Pseudomonadati; Pseudomonadota; Gammaproteobacteria; Enterobacterales; Enterobacteriaceae
Description: bacterial SSU rRNA
Source: RNAcentral
UGAACGCUGGCGGCAGGCCUAACACAUGCAAGUCGAGCGGUAGCACGGGAGAGCUUGCUCUCUGGGUGACGAGCGGCGAGGACGGGUGAGUAAUGUCUGGGGAUCUGCCUGAUGGAGGGGGAUAACUACUGGAAACGGUAGCUAAUACCGCAUAACGUCGCAAGACCAAAGAGGGGGACCUUCGGGCCUCUUGCCAUCAGAUGAACCCAGAUGGGAUUAGCUAGUAGGUGAGGUAAUGGCUCACCUAGGCGACGAUCCCUAGCUGGUCUGAGAGGAUGACCAGCCACACUGGAACUGAGACACGGUCCAGACUCCUACGGGAGGCAGCAGUGGGGAAUAUUGCACAAUGGGCGCAAGCCUGAUGCAGCCAUGCCGCGUGUAUGAAGAAGGCCUUCGGGUUGUAAAGUACUUUCAGCGAGGAGGAAGGCAUUAAGGUUAAUAACCUURGUGAUUGACGUUACUCGCAGAAGAAGCACCGGCUAACUCCGUGCCAGCAGCCGCGGUAAUACGGAGGGUGCAAGCGUUAAUCGGAAUUACUGGGCGUAAAGCGCACGCAGGCGGUUUGUUAAGUCGGAUGUGAAAUCCCCGGGCUCAACCUGGGAACUGCAUUCGAAACUGGCAAGCUUGAGUCUUGUAGAGGGGGGUAGAAUUCCAGGUGUAGCGGUGAAAUGCGUAGAGAUCUGGAGGAAUACCGGUGGCGAAGGCGGCCCCCUGGACAAAGACUGACGCUCAGGUGCGAAAGCGUGGGGAGCAAACAGGAUUAGAUACCCUGGUAGUCCACGCCGUAAACGAUGUCGACUUGGAGGUUGUGCCCUUGAGGCGUGGCUUCCGGAGCUAACGCGUUAAGUCGACCGCCUGGGGAGUACGGCCGCAAGGUUAAAACUCAAAUGAAUUGACGGGGGCCCGCACAAGCGGUGGAGCAUGUGGUUUAAUUCGAUGCAACGCGAAGAACCUUACCUACUCUUGACAUCCAGAGAACUUUCCAGAGAUGGAUUGGUGCCUUCGGGAACUCUGAGACAGGUGCUGCAUGGCUGUCGUCAGCUCGUGUUGUGAAAUGUUGGGUUAAGUCCCGCAACGAGCGCAACCCUUAUCCUUUGUUGCCAGCGGUUCGGCCGGGAACUCAAAGGAGACUGCCAGUGAUAAACUGGAGGAAGGUGGGGAUGACGUCAAGUCAUCAUGGCCCUUACGAGUAGGGCUACACACGUGCUACAAUGGCGCAUACAAAGAGAAGCGACCUCGCGAGAGCAAGCGGACCUCAUAAAGUGCGUCGUAGUCCGGAUUGGAGUCUGCAACUCGACUCCAUGAAGUCGGAAUCGCUAGUAAUCGUAGAUCAGAAUGCUACGGUGAAUACGUUCCCGGGCCUUGUACACACCGCCCGUCACACCAUGGGAGUGGGUUGCAAAAGAAGUAGGUAGCUUAACCUUCGGGAGGGCGCUUACCGUGAUUCAUGACUGGGGUGCGUAAA